UCAAAUUUUCAUCUAACAUCAGCCUCAGCCACUAAUGGUAUGAGGUGUGAACGCAAUUGUCGUCGUCUUUUCUCUUGGCCUCACAAGUAGUUGAUUCAAUAAUGCCCCGUAAAACAUUCACACAUAAAUAAAUAAUUAAACACCAACAGUAGUGUAAAACACAACUGAAACCAGAAAUAAAAGAAAGCAACGCGUGAUCAGCAUGCCACGUAGUAAUCAUAGGAGACUGGGAGUGGCCAUGGAUUUCUCGCCGUGCAGCGUCGCGGCGCUCAAAUGGGCGGUGGAAAAUUUUGCCAGAGAAGGAGACCAUAUCAUCCUCCUCAUCAUUCGCCCAGACGUUAACUACGAGCAUGGCGAGAUGCAGCUCUGGGAACUCACCGGAGCUCCUUACAUACCCCUAAACGAGUUCACUGAUGCUGAGGUCAUGAAGAAAUAUGGACUGAAGCCCACUCCCGAAGCAAUUGAAGUGUCCCAAAAAGCUGCAAAGGAUAAAAAAGUAGAGGUACUCAUGAAAAUCUUUUGGGGUGACCCUCGUGAAAAGAUUUGCCAAGCAGUCGAUUCAAUACCUUUAGAGGCUCUUUUCAUGGGAAAUAGAGGCCUUGGUCCCCUCCAAAGGGCCUUUAUGGGAAGUGUGAGUAAUUAUGUAGUGAAUCAUGCCACAUGUCCAGUCACUGUGGUGAAGAGUGACAAUCAAAAUAAAAGUUAAUUAUUUUCCUAAUUUGAUAUUAAUUGUAUAGGACAGAGAAUAAAUUUGUGCUACACAACCAAGUUUUGAUGCCUUUGGGCCUUGGUGGAUUGCAUAUGUAUAGUAUAUAUAAUAUGUUAUCAUGUGUCUAAGUUGAUACUCCUUAGGGCGUCCCUAUUGAAAGUUAGUUGCUCAAAACUCAAAAUGUUCUCAAACCGUGAUGAGUAAUAAAGGAAAAAGUGUCAAGAAUGUUAUUAUUUUUUGAAUUCUAAUAUUUCCUUCAUACUUAAGUUUGUCUAUAUGGCAUGUAAUAAAAAUUUUC
This is a non-coding RNA of Arachis ipaensis, 1007 nucleotides long. The record is from RefSeq and is a predicted model, not a curated record. NCBI's taxonomy places the organism in Eukaryota, Viridiplantae, Streptophyta, Magnoliopsida, Fabales, Fabaceae.